This 253-nucleotide ribosomal RNA is filed under the name uncultured bacterium. RNAcentral describes it as "partial 16S ribosomal RNA". It matches the Rfam family "Bacterial small subunit ribosomal RNA", at positions 524 to 776 of the family's 1533-position model. The record is from RNAcentral.
UACGUAGGGGGCAAGCGUUGUCCGGAAUCAUUGGGCGUAAAGAGCGUGUAGGCGGCCCGAUAAGUCCGCCGUGAAAGUCCAGGGCUCAACCCUGGAAUGCCGGUGGAAACUGUCGGGCUGGAGUCCGGAAGAGGCGAGUGGAAUUCCUGGUGUAGCGGUGAAAUGCGUAGAUAUCUGGAGGAAUACCGGUGGCGAAGGCGGCAUCCUGGACCGGCAUUGACGCUGAGGAGCGAAAGCGUGGGGAGCGAACAGG